This is a long non-coding RNA of Capra hircus (goat), 466 nucleotides long. RefSeq lists it as uncharacterized. The transcript is spliced from 3 exons. The record is from RefSeq and is a predicted model, not a curated record. NCBI's taxonomy places the organism in Eukaryota, Metazoa, Chordata, Mammalia, Artiodactyla, Bovidae.
GAGUUCAGUUUCCUUCCAACACCGAGUGCAGGAUGGGAUUGUUGUUUAUUCUCAGAGGGGCUGGGGAUACCAGAGUCUUGAGGAUACCACGGGGACAUCUCAGUUGAAAUCUUAGCACUCUUGGAUGACCCCACAGAAGCACAGAGGAGAAACGCUGUGGCUGUAUUCGAACAAAGGUCCUGGGCCACGCUGGUGUAAUUUACAGUGGGGAUGAGUAAAUAACUUUUCAGGAUCCAAGGGGGUCACAUAAAAGUUCAGCACUGUCAUCAUCUUCUCAUCCUUAAAUCUAUAGAUGCCCUCCCUUCCAAAUACCCUGUGAUUGCCUGGGCUGCUAUUUUGAUAUGAGACAGAAGAGGAUUAAGGCCUGAGGCAGGAAGACUGUACAGGAGGCUACUCCGUGAUCCAGGAAGACCCUUCAGGAGGCUACUCCGUGAUCUAGGAAGACCCUUCACCCUACUCCGUGAUC